UAAAGAGGCUGGUGAGGGAAGCCACAAAGGACCCCCCUCCCCCCAUAGACAACUCCACAGGAUGUUAGAAGCGAACAUGGUAACUUUUGCAUCACCAGAGCCAGCUCAAUGGUGAAAUGAAACAGAGAAAAACUUUGAGACAUAAAGGGAUAUGAAAUUAGGCUCACAUUUCCCGUGUACCUUCUGUCACUAAGAUUUCAUGUUUUCAUGUUUCAUGUCCAAAAAGGCCUUUUCUCUUCGGGUCCAGCAUGAAGCUUUGGUGAAACAAGAGACCAAGUUGCUCUACACCCAUUUUCUCUAAUCACAGCCACUGAAGCUUAUAUAUUAAAGCGUUGUCAUGGUGUCUUGGUGGUUUCCCUCACUAGUUUCUUUAUGAGGGUUUGUUCAUUUUUAUUUUAUUUUAUUUUAUUUUUUGGGGGGGGGGGGGGGGAUUUAUUUGUUUAAACAGAUUUACCAUGAAGUACUGUGCCGUUUCUUUUUAAUGAGUGGUUUAAAUGGACUCUGAGACAUGCGGUACUUUAAUAUUUUGUAUCCAUCUCUUGACUUGUCUAAAGAAAACUGGUUGCAAAAUUAUGUUAAAAGGUAUAUUAUACUUAUACAAUCUGUUAUUUUGGCUUUGUGGUUCAUAUUAUGUAGAGGUUUUUCUCCCCCCAAGACAUUAAUGAAUAUAGUUCUACAAAUUUUUACAUUGUUAAGCAUGAUUUUUUUCUGAUUAUUAUUUAUAUUUAACAUAAAAAAUAAAAAUGUAUAAAAGCCUAUGGAUUAAUAUACUGUCUGGCAGUUUUUGAGUGAAAUCCCAGUGACCUGCCAAGAUUAAUAGCCAUAGUAAUGUGAUGGUUCUGUUGCUUUAUUAGCCCACAGCUCAUAAUGCGACAUGAUGGAUUUUACGCCACCUAGUGGUAAUAUUUCAGAAUGCAACCCACCCAGUUCUCUGUAACUGUGUUCUCAAAAAAGUGGGAAAAUGUGUACAUUUACACAGGCCGCAUGCUUAUUCGUACUCCUGAGUUCCUUCCCCUGUACACUGGAAUCAGCAAGAUUUAUAUAGCUAACAACACGGACUCGGACGUUACUCCUCCAUCUCACUUUACCGUAUUGUUUAUAAUAGAUAUUGGAUUACGAUUUGUGGCUUCCAGUGCACUAACUGUGUAUGCUUUAGCUGAGCCUCUGUGAAAGCCAGACAAUGACAGAAAAACUGACUCACUUGCAAACUUUGAUAUUUCAUAGCCUGGAAAGGUUUGGAAUCAGUGAAACAGUACAACAGUGUAACUUCAGUUACUUGAAGUCUGUAGUCACGAUGGCAGUCAGUGUCGUCCACAGUGUGUCAGUCUGCAUUUUGGUUCAGUUAUUAUGUUUGGUUGCAAUUUGAAACCUCAACACUAGAUGGCAUCAAAGGCACCAUCAUGCUGCUUUAAUGCAGGUGAGCUACAGUGUAACGCAUUUCACAUUUGCAUCACUUGUUGUCAAGCAAACUCUCAUUUGGGGCUAUUAUUUAAAAGUAAGCAAAUAAAGCAGCCUUUUUGAGGAAGCCUGUCCAGCUCUGAGCCUGGGAAUCGAUCAGUUUUUACUCCACCAUCACACCUUCUUCAGUAGGUUCCUAUUUAAAUCAGUGUUGCCUCCAUUGUAUUUAUUUAUUUAUUUUAGCACUUUAAAAGAAACAUUUCAAGUGCUGUGAAUUUGUUUUAGCCAAGAUUAUUAUCUCUGGUUAUUAGUGCUGUAAAUGUGUUUUUAGCCCGUUGCUGUACAAGUAUCUUGCUGCUUUUCUUUGCUUGCUCGCUGUGUCACAGUCAUCCAGUCAUAUGAGAAAACCCAGACAGAUAAAACACACACAUACACAAAUAAAGCUGCACAAAGCCCAUUUUCUUCUACUUUUUUCCAAUAAGUGACAAAAAGAAAGGAAUUGUGGGUGCAACGAGCAUACUGUAAACUGUAAAGAAAGUAUUUUAAAUAAGCAUUGUGGAAGAUGUUUCCGUUUAAACUAGGGAUGUGCCAGGCCGAUAUUUUGGAUCGGUAUCAGCCCGAUAUUGGCUAAAAUUACUGGAUCGGAUAUCGUGAAUUAAAAAAACAAAAACAUUUGAUUCAAAUCUUCUGUUGCACAACUGAGUCAUGUUGUAUGCUGUGUACUGUAUGUUUUAUGAAUGUAUGUUAGGGGAGUAGAAUAUUUGUUUCACAGGUGGCGAAGUACAUCCAGACAAAUGUAUUUAUUAAAAGGUAUCAAUCGGUAUCCGUAUCCACAGAAACUGAGUAGCGGUUUCGGACAUAAAAAAAAGUGGCAUCAUGCAUCCCUACUUUAAACCCCUAGUUUACACAUUAAUGUAAACUAUAACAUGACACAUAGAAAUAGUUACCUCUUUACUGCUGUGUGGUGUAACAACAGCACAGAAAACAGUUUUUGUUGAUGUCAUUGCACCUGCAUGCUGCAUUGUGUAUUUUGUUCUUAAUUUGACAUAUGUUGUAUAUAUGAGUCACUGGAGCCACUGUAACACUGACUCAUGUCAUGUUGCCAUUUUGCUCCAGAAGCAGCAGUAUUUUCUAGGCAAUGAUCUGUUUUUUUUUUUUUUUUAAUCAUUCACAAGCCUGUUCUUCUCACAUGUAAAUCUGUUGGAAAACCUGUUUGUAAAAAUGCGAUGAACAUA
This is a long non-coding RNA of Thalassophryne amazonica, 2633 nucleotides long. RefSeq lists it as uncharacterized. The transcript has 2 exons. The record is from RefSeq and is a predicted model, not a curated record. NCBI's taxonomy places the organism in Eukaryota, Metazoa, Chordata, Actinopteri, Batrachoidiformes, Batrachoididae.